This is a long non-coding RNA of Brassica napus (rape), 2005 nucleotides long. RefSeq lists it as uncharacterized. Lineage: Eukaryota; Viridiplantae; Streptophyta; Magnoliopsida; Brassicales; Brassicaceae. The record is from RefSeq and is a predicted model, not a curated record. The transcript has 5 exons.
UACCAGGCCCAUCUGCUAUUUUGGUUUGGCUCAUUUGCAAACACAAAACGCUUAGGUCAAGCGGGGUGACUCUUCCGAUCUUAAGCACGCCGACCACCGCUGCUACAUCUUCCGUCGUCGGCUUACAUCUCCUUAAAUCCUACGUUCUACCCACUACACGUCCCACUCUCUCGCAUCUGAACGGCCUCAUCAUCAUCUGUCUAUAAAUGUUCCUUACUUGCGAUGAAUACCCUGUUACGAAAUCUCAAAGGUCAAAUUCCGUCUAUAGAUCUCUCUCUCUCUCUCUCUCACGCUCAACACCAUCGCAGGUUAGUGUUUUCAAUGGGCAAAGUGUGAUUCUUAGGAAUUGUUUUAUGGGGAUGAUGAAUACUUAUAUAUCUUGGCUGUGUGUUUUAGAAGUGAUCUGAUAACUACUUGACGUUUUGGAUUCUUGGGGUUUCACUAACGAGAUUGCAGUGAGUUGUGAAGGCGAAAGAACAAGUUGUAGAAGGGAAGAUGCGUCAUCUAAUCCUGGAGAUAUUGAGUCCGUGAAGAAGAAGCUAUACGUAGCAAAAGUGUGGGUGCGGAACUUCAAAAAUUUCAAGAGUUCAAUCCUGCCGAUGAGCAUGGAUCCAUAUGGAGGGGAGUUCCAAGGGAUGGUUUUCGAAAUCUUUUGGAAAACCAUGUACCAAAAGCAACAAGUGGAUCAGGAUUCAAACUGAUAACGGAUGGUGUUAUAUUUCAUGGUAAAAAUUCUCCAAGAAGAUAUAGCAAGGGGUAUCUUCCUUCUCAUGCAUCGCAUGUGAUGAUUCCAACGCUGUCGGCGUCGUCAGGUUACAAACAUAUUACUGAAUUUCUUCUCAAAUUUCUUUUUUACUAAAUUCACCAAAGGGAAGUAGAUGAGAGUAAACUUAAGUUUGUCUUUUCUUUACAAGUUUCUGCUGAUCAAAGGGAGGGAUUGGCAAUGUUCAUGGAGCGACUUGAUCAGUCUAGAGAUUUAAUCAGAGAGUAGAAAAACCAUGAUGGAGACAGAAGAUCUUGGUGUCUCAGCUCUUCAAGAUCUUAGCCGGCACCGACAAACUCUCCUUCACUCGCAUAGCAAAGUUUGCUUGAUGGUGUGGAUGAGGACGAGCUUUCAAGGCUAUCUUUUUCCUCCUUUGUCGUUCUCGGUGUUAUUUCCCACACUGCUGCGUAAAUGUCUAUAUGGUUUUCCCAUUUGUACUACAAUAGUAUCACUUUUUCUUUAAUGUUAUUUAAUGUGUUAAUGUCUGAAACUUUUUGCCUAGAAAGAAACUCUCUGUGUGCCUAAAUACUCUCUACUGGUACUGAUUUAGUUGCAUCUUUUGUGUUUCAGUCAAAAACAGUUGUGGAGAGAAAGCAUCAGCAAUAGCAGAUGCAGACACAAUAGUGAAUGGCUCCACAGCAUCAGAAGCAUAAGCAGCAUUAGUGGUUGCUAAAAGAGCGGAGUCUGGUGGUCAACAAGGCUCUGUUAUAUAUCUUCUCGCCAACCAUAUUCUUGUUAAGUUUGAUCCUGCACAGAAGAUUUACAUUACAACGUUGAGAUCUCUCCAAGCCCUUCAAAGGAAAUCGCUGGGAUGAUCAAACAAAAACUCGUGGAGACUGAGCAUAGUAGUUUAUCUGGUGCUUUCCCUGCUUUUGAUGAUCAGGUGUGGUGACCUGCGUUAGAAGCUACCUCGGAAGAAGAUUGAUAAACUGUUUAGGGAUAACACGAGGCUUGUGUCCAAGUUUGAUGGGAAGGAGCAGAGAGAGGAAGUCGAUGGGAAGGAGCAGAGAAAGGAAGUCGAAAUCUGGGCUCCACUUCCUCGAGAAUACAUUCAUGCUCUCGAGGGAGAAUCCAAUAGAGAAGUGUACAUCGCUUGGAACAUCUUCAUUAUUAAGUACCGUAUAAAUUGGACACCUCAUUAUCAUUUUUUAAGAAAAUUAUAAAUCAUCUCUAAGUUUUCAUUUUCUUCUUCCUUAUAUCAAACCUAUUAAUUUUUUUUAUCAACCCAUUUUUUCUAAUCAA